RNAcentral lists this ribosomal RNA (2661 nucleotides) under Gracilaria edulis. RNAcentral's name for it is "large subunit ribosomal RNA". It matches the Rfam family "Bacterial large subunit ribosomal RNA". The record is from RNAcentral. Lineage: Eukaryota; Rhodophyta; Florideophyceae; Gracilariales; Gracilariaceae.
AGGUUAAAUAAUUUGGUUAAGAGAUUUCAAAAUUUUUAAAAAAAGCACUUAAUGAAAACCUUGGUAAAAAGUUACUAGACGUCUCGCUACGAAAAGUUAUAAGGAGGCACAGGCUUGUGAUUUAUAAAUUUCUGUAUUUAAAGUAAACUUAAUAAAAUUUAUUGGAAACAGUGUGAAUUGAAUCAUCUAAGUAACAUUGAUAAUAAAUCAAUAGAAUAGUCGUGAGUAAUGGUGAGUGAAUACGAUUUUAAAGCUUGAUAGAAAAGUUUUUAUUAGAAUCUACUAUAAUAGGUAAAAGUCCUGUAAUAGUAAAAACUUUUUAUAAAAAAAUUAUAAGUAAUAUGAAUUUUAAUUUUGUAUGAAUAAAGGAGGACCACCUUCUAAGCUUAUAAAAACUUUUUAACCGAUAGUGUAUGAGUACCGUGAGGGAAAGGUAAAGAAAUUUGAAAAAAUAAUUUGAGUUGAGUGUUUAUAAUUUUUCGGAGUAUAAAACAACGAAAUGCCUUUUGCAUAAUGAAUCAGCAAGUUAAUGUAUAUAGCAAGUUAAAUUAUUAAUAAAUAAACGUUUUAAGUAAUAUAUAUUAAACCUGAAACCAAGUGAUCUAAUUGUGAGCAAGCUAAAAAAGUUUUAAAAGAUUUUUGAGGGCUGAACUCGUAUAUGUAGCAAAAUAUAGAGAUGACUUAUAGUUAGGAGCGAAAGACUAAUCAAACUUGGAGAUAGCCGGUUUUUCACGAAAUGUAUUUAAGUACUACGUUAAUUAUAUUAAAUUUUGAGUUAGAGUACAGAAAAAAUAAUGGGAUGUAAAAAUUUACUGACUUUUUUUUAACUCCGAAUUAAAAACUUAAAAAUUUAACAGUCAGUCUAUAAGUGAAAAGAUUUAUAGACAAAAGGAAAACAAUCCAGAUCGUAUAUUAAGAUUUCUAAAUUAUAACUUAGGGAAGAAAAUUAAAAAAAGUACAAAUAUUUAAAAUUAGUUAGGCUUAGAAGCAGUCUUUCACUAGAGAAAGCGUUUUAGCUCAUUAUUUUUCUUUUUUUAAUUUAAAAUAUAAAGAAACUUUAAGUUUUAUAUCGAAAUAGCGAAUUAAAAAAUUUUAAUGGUAGUGAAACGUUCUGUAAAAAUUUUAUAAUUGUAAAAUUAUAAAAUCUCAACAGAAAUGCUAAUGCUGAUAUGAGUAGCGAUAAUUGUGUUAAUAAAUCACAAUCACUAAAUGUUUAAGGGUUUCAAUGUAAUUUUAAAUGCAUUGAGUUAGUCGGUCCUUAAGAAGUAGAAUUAAAAUUGUAUUCGAUAGGAAAUUAAUAUAUUAUAUUAUACUUUUUAUAUGUGUUAUUUUAACAUGAAAAAGAUUAUUUAAGUUAAUUUUAUAUAUAAUUAUGUUGUAAAAGGUAAAAAAUUAAUUAAAAUUAUUUUCGAGAAAAAAUUAUAAAAAAUAAACCGUACUUAAACCGACACAGGUAAACUUAUUGAGAAAAUUAUUGGUGGAUGGAAAAAUUAUAUUGAAGGAACUCGGCAAAUUAACUCUGUAUGUUCGCUAUAAAGAGAACCCUAACAAUAUAGGGUAGCAUUAAAUAAGAAGUAACGACUGGUUAACAAAACCAUAGGACUCUGCAAAUUUGUAAAAAACUGUAUAGGGUCUGAAGCCUGCCCAGUGCUUAAGAAUAAAAAAUUUAGGUUUAUGCUUAUUUUAAAAAUCUAAGUAAACGGCGGUUCUAACUAUAAGAAUCCUUAGGUAGCGAAAUUCCUUGGCGGGUAAAUUCCGUCCUGCAUGAAUGGCGUAACGAUUACUUCACUGUCUUCAAUAUAAAUCCAGCGAAAUUACAUUAUCUAUGAAAAUGUAGAUUACUUGCAGUAAGACGGAAAGACCCUAGAUCCUUUACUUUGAUUUUAAAUUGUAAAAAAUUAUUUAAUUGUAUAGAUUAAGUGGGAAUAACUUUUUAUAUUUUUGAAAAACCACUCUUUAAAUUAAGUUUUUUACUUAAUUUAUAAAUAACAUUUUUAUAAAGACCGUUUAAAAGAGAAAGUUUACUUGGGAUGAGUACCUCCUAAAAAGUAACGGAGGUGUACGAAGGUAAGUAACAAUUAUUUAAUAAAAAUAGUGAAGAGUAUAAUGACUUAAGCUUGCUUGACAAUAAGAUUUAUAAAUCAAAUUGGGACUAAAGUCAGUCAUAGUGACCCGAUAUUUAAGUGUGGAAUUUAAUAUCGUUUAACAGAUAAAAGGAACUCUAGGGAUAACAGAUUCAUCGUGACUAAGAGUUCAUAUUGAUGUCACGGUUUGAUACCUCGAUGUCGACUCAUCUUAUCCUGGAAUUGAAGAAGAUUUCAAGGGUCUAGUUGUUCGCUAGUGAAAAAGGUACGUGAGUUGGGUUCAGAACGUCGUGAGACAGUUCGGUCCCUAUCUACUGUAAGAUUAAGAAAAAUAUAAAGUGUGUUUUUAGUACGAGAGGACCUAAACACUUUAACCUCUGGUUAAUUGAUUGUUAUUGCCAAUAGCAUCGUCGAGUAGCUAAGUUAAUUUUUAAUAAAUGCUGAAUGAAUCAAAUGUAUUAAGUAUUCUUUAUUUAUUUUUCAAGAAUAAUCUAAAAGACUAUUAGAUAGAUCGGUUUAUUAAAAUUGUUUAGUAAUAAAUAACUAUUUAUUGUAAUAAAUCCGAAUUAUUCAAAAG